UUGACAGCCCCAAAGACUGAAGUGCUCUUUUAAACCACAGAACAGGUACAUCACAAACAGUGGCUUGUGCAGAUUUUUCCCACGCUGUCUCAAUAAUAUGCUUCGAAUGCAUUCGUUUGGAGACCGAGAGGGUUGUUUUUUCUCCUUCCUGCCCAUUCAACCUUUAGAUUUC
This is an unclassified non-coding RNA of Apteryx haastii (Great spotted kiwi), 172 nucleotides long. NCBI's taxonomy places the organism in Eukaryota, Metazoa, Chordata, Aves, Apterygiformes, Apterygidae. The record is from Ensembl.